Gorilla gorilla gorilla (western lowland gorilla) is the source of this 103-nucleotide small nuclear RNA. Its record names the gene U4. It matches the Rfam family "U4 spliceosomal RNA". Rfam says of the family: U4 small nuclear RNA (U4 snRNA) is a component of the major U2-dependent spliceosome. The structure of U4 snRNA from yeast and human has been reported. Lineage: Eukaryota; Metazoa; Chordata; Mammalia; Primates; Hominidae. The record is from Ensembl.
AGCUUUGUGCAGUAGCAGUAUUAUAGCCAGUGAAGUUUAUCUGAGGUGAUUAUUGCUAACUGAAAAACCCCUGCCUUCCAGGAACUAUUCUAAUUAAGGAAGA